Molecule: transfer RNA, 72 nt
Organism: Camelus ferus (Wild Bactrian camel)
Lineage: Eukaryota; Metazoa; Chordata; Mammalia; Artiodactyla; Camelidae
Rfam family: tRNA
About the family: Transfer RNA (tRNA) molecules are approximately 80 nucleotides in length. Their secondary structure includes four short double-helical elements and three loops (D, anti-codon, and T loops).
Source: Rfam
GAGGGUAUAGUUCUGUGGUAGAGUGCAUGCCUAGCAUGCAUGAGGUCCUGGGUUCAAUUCUUAGUACCUCCA